This 353-nucleotide small RNA is filed under the name Pongo abelii (Sumatran orangutan). Its description in RNAcentral is "processed transcript". The record is from RNAcentral. Lineage: Eukaryota; Metazoa; Chordata; Mammalia; Primates; Hominidae.
ACAGCUGCUGAAGUUCCCGCUGGGCCCAUGCCCCCGUUAUGAGCAGCUGCAGAACGAGACCCGGCAGACACCAGAGUAUCAGAAUGAGAGUUCUCGGAAUGCAGUGAGUAGGGGCAGAGGUGGAGGUCACCAUGCUGUCUUUUCCCCAGAGCAGGACUGAGACCCUGAUCCAUUUUUCAUAGCAAUUUCUGGACAUGGUGGCCAACGAGACAGGGCUUACAGACCUGACACUGGAGACCGUCUGGAAUGUCUAUGAUACACUCUUCUGUGAGCUGGAAAAGAAAGUUCUAGACUGUGGCCCAGAAUAGGGCUGGGGCAGCUCCCAGAGAAUGAAUAGUGCUGUUUCCUAUUGG